AUGGGACACAUAGACUGUGCUGCUGGAACACAUAAGUGGUGUGAGGAGACUUGGAAGCUGAGGUCUGAAGGCCUAAUAACAGUGAAUCAGAAAAAUGGGAAGAACCUAAUCGCAGGCGCUGCCGUGGGGGCUGGAAACGGACACAGCGCUCUGCUGGUGGGCGGCGGAGCUCUUCGAGGGAACACCAUUUUGUCCCCAUUUGAGGCCCAGGGAAGCCAUGAUCUUUUAAGAAACUCAUAGAAAUUCCAACUGAGAGAAAAUUAGUAUGGAAUUCUGUAAGCAAUUUCCUUCCUUUCUUAGAAUUCACAAUCUAAAAUGCAAGAGCCCAGGGCACCUGGCUGGCUCUGUAGGGGGAGACCGCCACUCUUGAUCUCAGGAUGGAGUUCAAGCCCUAUGCUGGCUGAAGCGAUUACUUAAAAAUAAAAUCUGAAAAAAAAAAAAAGUAAAAGCCCAUUCUUUGGCUGUUCUUCUAGAGGUUUGGUGUGAGUGAGCUGGAGAUCUGUAGCAUGCAGACCAGGCUUGUCCUGGGUUCCUGUCCUUGCCACAGAUGGAAGUGAAUCACAGAUCCCCUGCUCCCAGGUGUGGAUACUGUUUCCUCUCAUCCCAAGAAGAAUUCAGGCAACCUUGAUUUCAUCGGGCAUAUGUCAUUAGCUUAUCAAAGGCUCAAGUGGGACUACUCUGAAGUGAUCUGUGCUUAAAAACUACCUCACUGGGGCACCUGGGUGGCUCAGUGGGUUAAACCUUCGGCUCAGGUCAUGAUCUCAGGGUCCUGGGAUCGAGCCCCACAUCAUGCUCUCUGCUCGGCAAGGAGCCUGCUUCUCCCUCUCUCUCUCUGCCUGCCUCUCUGCCUACUUGUGACCUCUCUCUCUCUCUGUCAAAUAAAUAAAUAAAAUCUUUAAAAAAACAAAACAAAAACUACCUCACCGGGGCACCUGGGUGGCUCGGUGGGUUAAAGCCUCUGCCUUUGGCUCAGGUCACGAUCCCAGGGUCCUGGGAUCGAGCCCUGCAUCGGGCUCUCUCCUCAGCAGGAAGCCUGCUUCCUCCUCUCUCUCUCUACCUGCCUCUCUGCCUACUUGUGAUCUCUGUCUGUCAAGUAAAUAAAUAAAAUCUUAAAAAAAAAAAAAAAGAUCUACCUCACCCCCAGCCCCCUAGCCAAGAGCAUGGAAAGGACCUCUCUGCCACCUGCGUAAAGACCAGGAGUCACCAGCACUCUUGCCUGCCUGCUUGAGAAUGCUUACACAUUUGCUUAUUUGAUUCUUUUUUCUCUGCUCUCCCUUGGACUGACAUGCAUAGCCAGUCCUCAUAGUUGUUUAUCAGUUCUCCAAGCCUAUUUUAAAAGAUUUCUGCUUUCAUUUAAAAUCUAAGUCACAUUCUUCUUGCAUCCGCUGCUGUAUUUCCCGAAGGGGUUGUGUCAAAGGAAAUUCAACACCCACUUUCCUCACGAUCGGCUCCCCGGCUUGCUCACUCAUCAGAAGGCUCGUGCUAUUCGAUACUUCAGAAGAUUAUUUUCCUUGUUAGGUGACGUGUCAAGGGAAGGGGAGCUGGCCCCAGCGUCAGGUGACUGAGUUUUGCUCCCGUUUCUACUGUUGACUCAAUCAAUGUCCUUGGGCAAGUCAUUGAGCCUUUUCAUGCUGCGGUCUCUGGGUAUGAAAUCUGCCAACUGCAUCAUAUGAAUUUGAACCUUAGUGCCCUCUGGGAUAAAAAUAGGAAGGGGCCAGGUGUCCAUGUGGCCCCAAACUGAUGGAAUGAGGAGGACCAUGGGACCUCAAAGCUGUCCUUGAGCUGCAAACUCUGUAACAGGGUCAGGCCUCGGGCCUUGGUCCAGUUGCCUGUGGGGGUCAAUUCUGCCACUUGGAUUUUUCCAAAAAUAAAAGAAGACACUGCAUUAACCACCCAGCCUUGUAUAUUCUAUCUGCUCCAUAUCCCAUAUGCCUUUGUACUUCCCCUGUUGGGAUACUCACCAUUGACUGAUGUUAUUCGUUUGACCUCACUGCCCUGGAAACGUCUCAAGGGAGGGGACCUGU
Molecule: long non-coding RNA, 2024 nt
Organism: Mustela putorius furo (domestic ferret)
Lineage: Eukaryota; Metazoa; Chordata; Mammalia; Carnivora; Mustelidae
Source: Ensembl